This is an RNA transcript of Hevea brasiliensis (rubber tree), 1778 nucleotides long. It is a transcript of the gene named APO protein 4, mitochondrial, with no coding region annotated. NCBI's taxonomy places the organism in Eukaryota, Viridiplantae, Streptophyta, Magnoliopsida, Malpighiales, Euphorbiaceae. The record is from RefSeq and is a predicted model, not a curated record. The transcript has 5 exons.
CGUCGUCAUUUUUCCUGCGUUGCCGCUUAGCUCUAGGCUUCUAAUGUGUUUCGAAUCUUAUUUGGACAUGGUAAGAACACAAAAACCCGGCAACUCGCACAUCUGGAUCGCAGUAAGCGCUAUCCUUUGAUCCCAUUUUGUAUUCCAAUUUGAUGCGUGGAAGCUAUUAGCUUGAUUUCGAUCUCAUACAAACGACGUAUACAUCAUCUGCCAUUACCAACUGGUUUUAAAUGGCUUUGAGGAAGAUAAUGUGGCAAAAUCUUUCUGGAGAUUGUAGUAGAUGCAUUUCGCACUUCAGAUAUUAUAGCUCCCGAAUUGACUGGAAAAAGCUGCGGCCUAUGAUACUGAAGAGAAUAGAAAAUCGUGCUAAGGACUAUCCUGUUCGGGACAUGGUUCCCGUGGCUCAAGAGGUCCUCAAGGCCAGAAUGCUUCUUAUUCAAGGCGUGUCCACUCUCAUCCAAGUGAUUCCAGUAUUGGCGUGCAAGUUCUGUCCGGAAGUAUAUAUCGGAGAGAAAGGUCAUUUAAUUCAGACUUGCUGGGGUUACAGACGUGGUGCUAAGAAUCGGGUUCAUGUGUGGAUUACUGGUGGUUUAAAUGAUAUACUCGUUCCAGUAGAGACAUUUCGCCUGAAUAAUAUGUUCCAAAAGAUUAUUAAACAUGACCAAAGAUUCGAUUUUGACCGUGUUCCUGCUGUUGUUGAGCUCUGCAGGCAGGCAGGUGCUGAUCAAACUGCUGAGAAUUUGUACUCUAGUACAAGGACUUUGGACAGUGUCUCUAGUGGUCUUGAUAGAGCUGAUUCUCUGUCACCUGAGGAUCUUAAGUUGGUAGCAAAUGGGACUUUGAGAGCAUGGGAGACUCUUAGAUCAGGGGUGCAAAAGUUGUUGUUAGUUUAUCCAGCAAAAGUUUGCAAGCAUUGUUCAGAAAUUCAUGUUGGGCCAUCUGGACACAAGGCUCGCCUUUGUGGUGUGUUUAGGUAUGAAAGUUGGCGUGGAUCACACUUCUGGAAGAAGGCAGCUGUAGAUGAUCUGGUGCCUCCAAAGAUUGUGUGGCGGCAUCGGCCUCAAGAUCCUCCAGUUCUCUUAAAUGAAGGGCGGGAUUUUUUUGGACACGCACCAGCAGUGGUGGAUCUAUGCACAAAGGCUGGUGCUAUUGCACCAAAAAAGUAUUAUUGCAUGAUGAAAAUUCAGGGUUUGUCAGCAACAUUUAAAUACUGAAGAUCUCUGCUGAGUCAAUAUGUAGUGGUUCGGGCAUCAGGGUAUGCUAAUUUGGCGAUUAGAGCCUCUACAGCUUUUAUCACUCAUCUAAGUUGGAGCCCAGACAGACUCAUGAUCAAGUUGCUUGAAUGGCUCACUGUUGAAACCAGCUUCAGGGAUCAAAACAAAUGCUGGCUGGGUUCACCUCUGUCUUCAUGAUGUUGAAAUAAGACAUGAAUAGCUGUUGCAAUUCUACUUUUUUGUAGGAUACAACAGUAAUCAGUGAACGUACAAGCUCGAAGAGGACAGAAAUGGCAACUAAUUGAUUUUGGAAACUUGGUUUUUUAUUUUAUGUUAUUUUAUUUUUUAACUGAUUAAAGGAAAUUCAUGCAAAAAGGAGAAAAUGCUUAACUAAUAUAAGCAUAUUCUGUAUUAUCAUUAGCAGAUUACAUUUCGAGUUGCAUCUAUCAUGAAGGUUUCCACUUUCCAGCACUUUUGCGCUGCUUGAAUUCUGAAGCUUACCUAUCAACUCAAACAUUUUGAGCUUCCUUCACCUGAAAUAUCUGUGGAAAAUGCUUAUUUUCA